GUGACAUACCUUAAUGUUGCCUCGGCGGAUCAGCCCGCGCCCCGUAAAACGGGACGGCCCGCCAGAGGACCCAAACUCUAAUGUUUCUUAUUGUAACUUCUGAGUAAAACAAACAAAUAAAUCAAAACUUUCAACAACGGAUCUCUUGGUUCUGGCAUCGAUGAAGAACGCAGCAAAAUGCGAUAAGUAAUGUGAAUUGCAGAAUUCAGUGAAUCAUCGAAUCUUUGAACGCACAUUGCGCCCGCUGGUAUUCCGGCGGGCAUGCCUGUUCGAGCGUCAUUUCAACCCUCAAGCCCCCGGGUUUGGUGUUGGGGAUCGGCUCUGCCCUUCUGGGCGGUGCCGCCCCCGAAAUACAUUGGCGGUCUCGCUGCAGCCUCCAUUGCGUAGUAGCUAACACCUCGCAACUGGAACGCGGCGCGGCCAUGCCGUAAAACCCCAACUUCUGAAUGUUGACCUCGGAUCAGGUAGGAAUACCCGCUGAACUUAAGCAUAUCAAUA
RNAcentral lists this ribosomal RNA (498 nucleotides) under Fusarium sp. 30410. RNAcentral's name for it is "eukaryotic LSU rRNA". The stretch from base 126 to 279 matches the Rfam family "5.8S ribosomal RNA". The record is from RNAcentral. Lineage: Eukaryota; Fungi; Ascomycota; Sordariomycetes; Hypocreales; Nectriaceae.